Molecule: non-coding RNA, 192 nt
Organism: Clostridium sp. CAG:356
Lineage: Bacteria; Bacillati; Bacillota; Clostridia; Eubacteriales; Clostridiaceae
Source: Rfam
CAAACCCUGCAUAGUACGUGUAGCACAGAAUUUUUAGAACCUACAAGUUUAAAGAGGGGCCAAAACUUUGAGUAUGGCGUGCAAGCUUACACUUUCGAGUAGUAAGAAGCCCAGGAAUAUUCAAGCAGGCACCCACCUGUCGAAGACAGGUCCUUAAAAAUUCAGACAACUUACGGCUAAGGCGGGGAUUGU